Molecule: long non-coding RNA, 381 nt
Organism: Cyprinus carpio (common carp)
Lineage: Eukaryota; Metazoa; Chordata; Actinopteri; Cypriniformes; Cyprinidae
Exons: 3
Source: RefSeq, a predicted model, not a curated record
CCUCACUUUAUCUGAGGCACUACAAAGAAGAAUCAUGCGGCUUACACCUAUUCAAAUCUUUUUUCUGAUGUGUGGAUUUUGUUCCCGAUUUCACGCUAUCGCAUAUCCACCAGUUCAAACAGUCCAGACCCAAAAUGAAGUUGCGCCUGGAUCUGACGUGUCUUUGCGAUGUGAUGUCCCUCUCCUGAAUGAAUCCUCCACGUUGCUCUGGGAGAAAGAUGGAGAACAAAUAUCCAACAACACACUGAUCUACAACAACUCUGCCUUCAUCAUCUUACACACUGUUGAUGAACACAGUGAAGGGAAAUAUUACUGUAGAUUGAUGGAAGAUGGAAAAAUAGAAACUGUUAGGAUUCACACACUUAAUGUAGCUUCACGUAA